GCAGCGCCGAAAGAGCAAAUUUGUUCACUUUUGUACGAACAAGCGCCGCAGCGUCACGAGUUUCUUCAUACAAACGUAAAAAAAUUGGUCUUUCAGCGCUGCUGCUUUUACAGUAAACUAUAUUAUGGAGGACCCAUACACACGCUAAAGUAUUAUGUCUUAGUUUUGUUAUACCUUGCAUUUAAAUAAGACUCAUGGAGCAUUAAA
Molecule: long non-coding RNA, 207 nt
Organism: Aricia agestis (brown argus)
Lineage: Eukaryota; Metazoa; Arthropoda; Insecta; Lepidoptera; Lycaenidae
Exons: 4
Source: RefSeq, a predicted model, not a curated record